CAAAGUAAAGCUUUGUAGUUUAAGCGUCUCACUUACGUUGAGAAGAUUUAUCGUGCAAGUCGAUUAUAUUUUGA
This 74-nucleotide transfer RNA is filed under the name Enoplometopus occidentalis (Hawaiian reef lobster). RNAcentral's name for it is "tRNA-Val". Lineage: Eukaryota; Metazoa; Arthropoda; Malacostraca; Decapoda; Enoplometopidae. The record is from RNAcentral.